This 185-nucleotide ribosomal RNA is filed under the name uncultured bacterium. Its description in RNAcentral is "partial 16S ribosomal RNA". It matches the Rfam family "Bacterial small subunit ribosomal RNA", at positions 1318 to 1500 of the family's 1533-position model. The record is from RNAcentral.
ACAUGAAGCUGGAAUCGCUAGUAAUCGCGGAUCAGAAUGCCGCGGUGAAUACGUUCCCGGGUCUUGUACACACCGCCCGUCACACCAUGGGAGUCGGAAAUGCCCGAAGCCGGUGACCUAACCUUUCAGGAAGGAGCCGUCGAAGGCAGGUCUGAUAACGUGGGGUGAAGUCGUAACAAGGUAAC